This 599-nucleotide ribosomal RNA is filed under the name Kluyveromyces marxianus. Its description in RNAcentral is "eukaryotic LSU rRNA". It matches the Rfam family "Eukaryotic large subunit ribosomal RNA", at positions 49 to 664 of the family's 3401-position model. Lineage: Eukaryota; Fungi; Ascomycota; Saccharomycetes; Saccharomycetales; Saccharomycetaceae. The record is from RNAcentral.
AGCGGGAGGAAAGAACCAACCGGGAUUGCCUUAGUAACGGCGAGUGAAGCGGCAAAAGCUCAAAUUUGAAAUCUGGCGUCUUCGACGUCCGAGUUGUAAUUUGAAGAAGGCGACUUUGUAGCUGGUCCUUGUCUAUGUUCCUUGGAACAGGACGUCAUAGAGGGUGAGAAUCCCGUGUGGCGAGGAUCCCAGUUAUUUGUAAAGUGCUUUCGACGAGUCGAGUUGUUUGGGAAUGCAGCUCUAAGUGGGUGGUAAAUUCCAUCUAAAGCUAAAUAUUGGCGAGAGACCGAUAGCGAACAAGUACAGUGAUGGAAAGAUGAAAAGAACUUUGAAAAGAGAGUGAAAAAGUACGUGAAAUUGUUGAAAGGGAAGGGCAUUUGAUCAGACAUGGCGUUUGCUUCGGCUUUCGCUGGGCCAGCAUCAGUUUUAGCGGUUGGAUAAAUCCUCGGGAAUGUGGCUCUGCUUCGGUAGAGUGUUAUAGCCCGUGGGAAUACAGCCAGCUGGGACUGAGGAUUGCGACUUUUGUCAAGGAUGCUGGCGUAAUGGUUAAAUGCCGCCCGUCUUGAAACACGGACCUCCUGUGUGAAGGGAUUCCGCUA